AUUGAACGCUGGCGGAAGGCCUAACACAUGCAAGUCGAACGAGUGGCGGACGGGUGAGUAAUGUCUGGGAAACUGCCUUAUGGAGGGGGAUAACUACUGGAAACGGUAUCUAAUACCGCAUACCAUCCGAUGUUCCCAGAUGGGAUUAGCUAGUGGGUUGGUUAAGGGCUCACCAAGGCGACGCGCACUAGCUGGUCUGAGAGGAUGCCCAGCCAAACUGGAACGUAGACACGGUCAAGACUCCUACGGGAGGCAGCAGUGGGUAAGAUUGCACAAUGGGCGAAAGCCUGAUGCAGCCAUGCCGCGUGUAUGAAGAAGGCCUUCGGGUUGUAAAGUACUUUCAGCGGGGAGGCGUUACCCGCAGAAGAAGCACCGGCUAACUCCGUGCCAGCAGCCGCGGUAAUAC
This 406-nucleotide ribosomal RNA is filed under the name uncultured bacterium. RNAcentral describes it as "partial 16S ribosomal RNA". It matches the Rfam family "Bacterial small subunit ribosomal RNA", at positions 30 to 526 of the family's 1533-position model. The record is from RNAcentral.